RNAcentral lists this ribosomal RNA (896 nucleotides) under Acidomyces acidophilus. Its description in RNAcentral is "LSU rRNA". It matches the Rfam family "Eukaryotic large subunit ribosomal RNA", at positions 38 to 960 of the family's 3401-position model. Lineage: Eukaryota; Fungi; Ascomycota; Dothideomycetes; Mycosphaerellales; Teratosphaeriaceae. The record is from RNAcentral.
GCAUAUCAAUAAGCGGAGGAAAAGAAACCAACAGGGAUUGCCCYUAGUMACGGCGAAGUGAAAGCGGCAACAGCUCAAAUUUGAAAUCUGGCGCAAGCCCGAGUUGUAAUUUGUAGAGGAKGCUUCAGGGCAGCGGCCGUUCUAAGUCUUUUGGAACAAGGCGUCACAGAGGGUGAGAAUCCCGUAUGCGACCGGCGCGCACCCGUCACGUAGCUCCUUCGACGAGUCGAGUUGUUUGGGAAUGCAGCUCUAAAUGGGAGGUAAAUUUCUUCUAAAGCUAAAUAUCGGCCAGAGACCGAUAGCGCACAAGUAGAGUGAUCGAAAGAUGAAAAGCACUUUGGAAAGAGAGUUAAACAGCACGUGAAAUUGUUGAAAGGGAAGCGCAUGCAACCAGACGUGCCGGCGGUGUUCCCCCGGUCUUCUGACCGGGCCACUCGCCGCCGGCAGGCCCGCAUCGCCUGGGUGCGUCGGAGAAAGGCGUGGGGAAUGUGGCUCCCUCGGGAGUGUUAUAGCCCCGCGCGCAAUACGACGCCGCCCGGGCGAGGUCCGCGCUCCGGCUAGGAUGCGGGCGUAAUGGUUGUCUGCGGCCCGUCUUGAAACACGGACCAAGGAGUCUAACAUCUAUGCGAGUGUUCGGGCAUCAAACCCUUACGCGCAAUGAAAGUGAACGGAGGUGGGAGCUUCGGCGCACCAUCGACCGAUCCUGAUGUCUUCGGAUGGAUUUGAGUAAGAGCAUAGCUGUUGGGACCCGAAAGAUGGUGAACUAUGCCUGAAUAGGGUGAAGCCAGAGGAAACUCUGGUGGAGGCUCGCAGCGGUUUCUGACGUGCAAAUCGAUCGUCAAAUUUGGGUAAUAGGGGGCGAAAGACUAAUCGAACCAUCUAGUAGCUGGUUCUGC